GGAAUUCGAAAAGAUCGCAGAGGUGGCCGAAUAGUGAAGCACAAACGUCAAAGAGAAGAACAUGAUAGCAGAAACAUAGGCACAGUAGCAGAGGCAAGGAGCCCAAAUCUUUGGCCAAGCCCACUAAUGAUCAAACAUAGUAAAAAAAACAGUCCAGCCCUCUCCCUCUCUGCAGAUCAGAUGGUUUCUGCUUUGCUAGAGGCAGAACCUCCUAUUGUCUAUUCAGAAUAUGACCCUAACAGACCCUUCAACGAAGCUUCAAUGAUGACGUUGUUGACCAACCUUGCUGAUCGAGAACUGGUUCAUAUGAUCAACUGGGCCAAAAGGGUUCCAGGCUUUGUGGACUUAACACUCCAUGAUCAAGUUCAUCUACUAGAAUGUGCCUGGUUAGAGAUAUUGAUGAUUGGCCUAGUGUGGAGAUCUGUGGAGCAUCCAGGAAAGCUGCUGUUUGCCCCCAACUUAUUGCUGGACAGGAAUCAAGGAAAAUGCGUUGAAGGCAUGGUAGAAAUAUUUGACAUGCUGCUGGCCACUUCUUCUCGUUUUCGUAGCACAAAUGUCCAGGGGGAAGAAUUUGUAUGCCUUAAAUCUAUCAUCCUACUCAAUUCUGGGAUCUACACAUUUCUUUCUAGCACCUUGAAAUCCCUGGAGGAAAAAGAGCAUAUCCAUCGUGUUCUGGAUAAAAUUACCGAUACUUUGAUGCAUUUAAUGGCCAAAUCCGGCCUUUCCCAGCAGCAGCAACAUAGGCGCUUGGCUCAGCUUCUCCUCAUCCUUUCCCACAUCAGGCACAUGAGCAAUAAAGGGAUGGAGCACCUCUAUAACAUGAAGUGCAAGAAUGUGGUCCCACUUUACGAUUUAUUGCUGGAAAUGCUGGAUGCUCACCGUCUGCAUGCUCCUGCAGCUAGGAACACACCACCCAAUGAAGAGGAGAUUUCAAACCAGCUGGCCAUGGCACCUGCUUCAAUGCAUUCCUUACCACCUUGCUAUGUGAACAAACAGGAAGAAGAACCUGUGCAAGAAGCAGUCUGAAUUCAGAUUACAAACAGCCUACAGGAUUCUGAGUGUCCCAUCAAAAAACGCCAGGCUUAGAUGAACUGGUACCAUGUCUAAGCACUCCAAUACUCAACAAUCACCACUGGUUCCCAAAACAACGAUGGUCAACUUCAUUAAUGGCAGAACAUUAUAAUUUUGGACAUAAUUGUUUCAUUUUUUUAAAAAAAAAAGUGUGUUUGUGUUAGCAAAACACAAGCUUGAGGAUUCCUGCACUCUGUUUGCUGGUAUCAUAUAGAGAAGUUGGAUGAUCUUUUAUUUUUAAAUCAAUUGGGCAAAAAUCCCAGCUGAGUUGAGUAGGUGAUGUUUACAUGUAACAUUUAUUGGCUGUUUGGUGGAUACAAGAAAAGUGCACCACCCAGAUACAGUAUAGAAAGCAAUGGUGGUUAAGGACUAAGAUUCUGUUAUACUCCCAUUUAAAAAAGAAUUAAGAGAAAAGAGAAGAGAAAAUAUUAAUUUAAGAUUUCCCCGUUGGGAUUCAUUCCUUUCAGUGACACCAAUACAAUAUUCAAAUAGAUUAAUCUACCCUCUCAAACUUUGCAGGAUGCUCCAGUUUAUUUCAGCAAGAAAAGCCCUUCAGUUAACUUGAGAAGAUAACUGUGAGAUGCUAAAGGGGGAUGGCUCAGCCCUACAGAGUUUACCAUAAUAAGGGUAAGCCCAUGGAUGGAAAAUUAAUAUUAUCAUUUUUAAAAACUGGCAUAAUUCAAUUCAUUGGCCCUGCUAAAUUCACAAUGAGGGUCCAAAGGUAACAGAUUUCUCCCCCUAUCUGUCUCAGGCUGAAUUUCUGUGCUGACCAUUACAAUAUCUAAUAGACCAUAGCCCAAUUAAAAUAUGACAUUGUAUCAAUUAAUUGUGAAUCACCUAAGGACCUCUGGCUGAAAAUAUAAUUACACCAUCUACUUCAUACAUUAACUGACAGGUCACAUAUGAACUGUAAAAACCCAACUGAUCAUGGGAAAAUUAUGCCCCUGCUGCCAACCGCCAAGAAUGGAAUGGUCUGGCCAUUCUACUCGCCUGCUUUCCACUGGAGGUAACUUUGUGGGAGAGCUGCACCUGCACAUAUUUAGGUGGUAUCUGAAAUUAACUUUCAGAAAAUUCCACGUCUAUUCAAUCCAAUCAGCGCUCCACAGUAGGAAAGUCAUCUGCCUCCUUGAGCAAGGUCCUGGAUUUGCAUGUGAUGCUCCCUAAUAUCUGCCAAAGCAAUAAAGUCCCAAAGUUGCCUCUUGGGAAAAAAAACACCUUUGGGACAAUCAUGAUCUGGGUGACUGAGAAUUUCUAUACACAAAACAACAGAACUUUAUGUUGAGUCACAACUAGUGGUAAGAGAACAAUGAAGAAAGGACAAGAAAGUUUUGCACUGCAGCUGAGGUCACAUCCUGUUCUUUGAGUCUGGCCUAUAUUGACCCUUUCCAAAGCGAAGUGCACACGUCUAGGCCAGUGCAGGUCAAACUCUACAAAUGAUUGACAGUAACCACUUUUGUUAAAAUGUAUUCCCUUCCCAAAUAUAUGCCCAAACGUUGUGAAUCUCCACCUGUUUUUACAGUGCUCUUGCCAACACUUCUAGCUUGAGCUUCAUUGCUAAUGGCCUUGCUUUUUAUUAAUAGCAUAAAGUACCUAUUUUCAAAAUAUAAAAAGAACAAAAAUCAAUGGUCCUGCUUUGACAUUUGAUAUGAAGUGCCUUGCCAAAAAUGGGUACAGCUGUACCCUUUGAAAUAAGACAAAAUCCCCACACUGUAUAUAUGCUAUAUAUACAAUAUAUUACAUGAUUCAUAUUAUAUUGUAAUAUAUUGCAUGAUAUAUUAACAACACAAAGAAUUCUUGUAGGGCCAUAAUCAAAGAAAGCAAAUUUUAAUCAUUUAUACCCAGCUGUUAACUGAAAAUCUAGGUAUUUUUUAACUGGGAGUUUAGCCCCAUAGUAUGCAAUUGGACAUACUUCUGAAUAGACAAGCAUAGGAUCAGGCUACAGUAAUAUAAUUCAGUAUUUCUAUUUUUAUAAGGGAAAAAACUUUUGCUCUUUUUCUACUGGUUCCUUAAGGGUUCCUUAAGAUUUCUGUGUAUUUGUUGCUUUGGUUGCCCCCACCCCCAGCCCCAAUUCACUUCUGCUGGUUUGGAGCUUCCAUCUAAGACCUAGAAAGAAUGAUUGGAAGCUUUCCUCCCCAUCUGAGUGAAUGGUGAACAUUUCAAGUACAGGACCUCAAUAGGUCCUUUGUACGCCAAUUGGUUAGACUUCUGAGUAGAUAUAUGUAACCAUAACUCAGUUUCUGCCUAUCCUCAUACAAUGCAAAAGAUUAAAAUUGGUCUCAGUCUAUUUAAGUAAUGUACACUACAUCUAUUUUCCUAACAGAAACCAUGAUUUUGCCUUGACAGAUUAACGGGCAAAAUGUCGGAGGGAUAGGACUAGGCCCUUAGCACGGGAGUGUGAGAUGUUUUUAGCUUUAAUGCCAGCAUACCUGGGACAGGUCCGGCUUGGUAAUUGAAAUCGCUUUUUGUUAAAUGUCUGAAACUUAAGAAAAAUAUCUAGUCAUUAUUGUUAGUUUGCUGGAAGCAUUGUAUUAUCCUUAUUGCUAUUGUUUGUUGAAAGCACCUUACUGAAUGCAGUGUGUGUUUCUGUGCAUAUAAUACACACAUGCAAAGCUCACCUAUCAGACAACUGAAUGUAGCUCUUCUGUAUAACCAGUCGACAGGUUAAAAUACAACAAAACCACAAGGGGAAAAAAA
Thamnophis sirtalis is the source of this 3765-nucleotide non-coding RNA. The record is from RefSeq and is a predicted model, not a curated record. NCBI's taxonomy places the organism in Eukaryota, Metazoa, Chordata, Lepidosauria, Squamata, Natricidae.